Long non-coding RNA from Micropterus dolomieu (smallmouth bass), 5606 nucleotides. RefSeq lists it as uncharacterized. The transcript has 7 exons. Lineage: Eukaryota; Metazoa; Chordata; Actinopteri; Centrarchiformes; Centrarchidae. The record is from RefSeq and is a predicted model, not a curated record.
UGUCACCUUCUUCUCUCUCUGAACUGAACUGAACUGCAGCUCUGUGUGCGAUUUUUGACGUGGUUAUAUUGUUUUGCUUACCUGGAUUUAGCUGCGAAUGAAUAGUCCGCUGAAGUAACCUUACUGUUUUUACUGUGGUUGUGUACGCAUAGAUAAUGAGCUCCGGACAGCACAGGGCACUGGGCCAGGUUAGGUUAACUUACCCGACUUAUUGUUUUUACUCUGUCGGUCUGGUAUUUGGCUGUUAGUCUUGAGUGAUGUUGUGUUAUGAACAUUUGGUAUGUAUGUAGGCCUAUUUGAUACAUGCACCACUGCUACUAUGCAAAUGUCAACUUCAAACGUCUUCUGAUUGAGCUUGUGAAUGCUUCUUUUAUUCUUAACAGAAGCUUAUUUGUACUGUGCACUAUAAGCAGCGGGCUAUAUAUGCUAUUUGGGGUGAGAGAGAGUCAGUGAGUGUGAGAGAGAGAGAGAGAGCAUGUUGGUAAAUGCAACUUUGGGAUUGUGCAUUGAUACCGGAUAGUGCGCAUCUUUAAAGUAUGAUUCAAUUUUGUGUAAAAUUAUACCCUGCACUGUAAUAGCACAAUAUAUUAGAUAAUUGCCCUGCAAAAAAAGACAUCCCCUCUCACUUGGCUUCCCCAAAAAUUUACCCCACCCCAUGCCACUGGAAUAAAAAUAUGCAUCAACGCUUUUUCCACAAAACACAAUAAAGUAAGUAGUGAAAGUAAAUUUUAUUUACUUUCACUUUAUUUAUUUAUUAUCUGAUCAAGCAGUCAAUUACUUUGUCUAUUCAGCUUUAUGCAAGAUCAGGACUACUAUCUGAAAGUUGACUAAUUUUUCAUUAGUUUUCAUUACUAUUUGAGUCUAGCACUAACAAUAAAAAAUUAUUUAUUUGAGUAGAUUUCCCUCAGAUUAUAAGUUGUGCACAAUUACAUUUGAGUAAAGAAUUAGUGGAAUUUAAUUUUAAUAAACAUCAGUAAAUCAAGUCAUUUAGUAUGCAGAAAUUAAAGUUUUGCUUAAAUGUAUUAUAUUGAAGUUAAGGUUUACUCAAAAAUAUUAUUACCUCUACCACCCCAGUUUCCACAAAUAUUGAGUAUUCUGUACUUAUUUGGGUUUACAGUGUAUAUAUUGUUGAUCACAUCAGACACACCUGUCGGCUCCUGCUGCUAACAGCCGGCUGCCAGAAACAGUGAUUAUAGCCUACAUGUAUUUGUACCGGGAUGGCACGAUUCCGCCUGGUUGGUCUGUCCCAGAUCCAAGGGCACAACUCUAGGGAAUCUAAAUGGAAAUAUUAGCCAGUCAUCAUCAUGGGCCAGGUAAUCUUCAUGGACACUCUCUAAUCCUUACACUGGCGUUUUCCUCUGCGGUGCCAUGGCGCAGCCAUGCUGCAUUACGCACGAGUGUCACGCAGUAUUUAUAUGUUUACAGCAGUACAGAGUAGGCUUCACACCUUGCCAAAAUGAUGGCUUCAGUCAGGGGAAUCCCCCAUCCCGGGAGAUCAUUUGAAGAUUGAGGUUUAACAAAUCCGUGUAUGGUUCAUUCUUUGGUUAAUUCGUUUCAAAACCAAAUCGUAAAAAAACAAGUAGUUUUUCUGUUUUAAAACUAAAACGGAAAAUCAAAGCAGCUGCGUUUUGUUCUAUCUAUGACCGGUGUUGUAUCACUACUGGUUUUCAAACUAACUGGCUGCUGUACCUGUGGUCUGCGUCGGGCUUCAUCCAACCAGAGAGAAUGAUCACAGACCAUCUGCAGCGCAACAGGUCGCUCCUGCUCCCGCUCAGGUUGAAAUGGCUGUUAUCUACACUCAUCAAAACUCAAGUUGAUAUUUAUGCUAGUUGUCCAUUUUAGCUUGAAAUAAAUAGGUGUAAAAUGUAGCUGUUUAAAUAAUAAAACAAAAAAUAAACAAUGUUUACGGAAACAAAAUGUCAAACAGGGUACAUGUGUUCAUUAUGUUUAAUUUUCAAAUAACUGAUGGCAAAAUGAGAAUAUUUACAAGAGAAAUGAUGUAUGAUCUGUACAAAGAAAUAUACAUGCAAAGAUAAAAAACAAAUAACAAACAUGUAUUUUAUGAAACCGGAAACAAACAUGACCAAAAAAAAAGACAGACAAUGAAGGAAAAUGGCCUGUGCACACCUUUCAAAUAAAUAACAAGGUAACUGGAUGUCUGUUCCUGGUGGGAUCAGUUUAAACAUAACACAUCCUAACCCCAUAAUGGAUUCAUGUGUAGUUAAGUGGUUAUAGCACAGCUAUCUCGUUUUAAUUUCCAGGAAAGAAAACUAAUGAAACCAAAGCCGCCAUCUUAGGGUAGUGUUUUUUUUUUCUUUUUUUUUUUUUUUUACACACAAAGAACUUGAAUUUAGCAAAGAAAUAUUUUGGCAACAAGUAUCUGUACAUAAAGUUAGAACACCAUUUAGUAAAUGAUGCACAAAUCUCCCAUUCAACUCUUCCAAUGAAACUGCAAUGCUCCAUUCUCUGUGAAGAGGAACUUUAAACCCGUCUCUUUACUAAAGAGCACUAAACAAACUAAUCCUGUUCCUCCAACAUAGUGUUUAACUAGUGUAAACAAUCAUUUGACAUGGUCAUAGAUAACCUAACUCAAGAGAACCACAUUUUUAUUAAGAACUAUAAAGCUAGAGCAACUUUGGUGUACCAAUACUACAGGGACAUACAGUACAAAAGUGUUAAAUCAUUUUUGAUCAAACCAUAAUGAUUGUAGAUUGUGUACUCUAACUUGGCCUGGCAGUUGUAACACUUAAAGAUCAAAUAAACACAAACUACCAGCAGUGCUUGCAGUACCAAGUACGUGCUUUUCUCUAGAUUUAUUACAGAUACAACAGAUGUCUUCAUAAAUAGUUGCAUAAAAUGUUAAAGCCGCAACAUUGCACAUGAUAAUCAAACAUAACAUACAAUGAGUGCAUUUACAGUAAUUUUUCUUCCCCUGCCUCCACAUUCACUCCCAUCUGAUUGGCAAUCACUGCUGCCACUGAGGCUCUGACAGUCUCGUGUCCUGCCAUCCGAAAGCAGGAGUCCGCUGUGAAUGUGAGAGGAAAGAAGGCAGAAGUCUAUAUACAAGAUUGGACAGUGCAGCAUUGUUACUCGUGACAUGGUCAUCAUGGUAUCAUUUUAGAUUAGACCAUCAAGAUGCUCAAAUCCAGAGGAGCCUGCAGCCCCUACAGUCUAAGCACUGGACAUCCAGUUUUUACUGCUUUUGUCAGCUAUGAUCAGAUUGGAGGCGGCAAAGAUUAGGGGGCUGGUUUGGACUUGUGUAUCCUAUCCUUUAAACUCGGGGCUGAAGGCGACUUUGGAUGAAGCUCCUGACUCCUCCGAUGGCCCGGGCGUCAGUCUGAUGUUUCCUUCGGUCUAUGAAGGAGAUGAGGCGGGAGGUGUCCAGGCAGCCCUCUGCUCUGGACCGGCCGUCAGCUGGACCGGCCGUCAGCCACGACUCCUGGAGGCAGAUCCCGGCCGGAGGCCUCCUGCCUGGGUCUGUCCUCAGGAGCAGGCAGAUGAAGUCCCGGGCCGCCUGGCUGACGCCCUGGAAGUAAUCCUUGGGGAAGCUGAAGUCUAGCCGGCAGAUGUUCAGGCAGGUCUCCUCUGUGCUUUCGUCGAGGAAGGGUGAGGCGCCGCUCAGCAGCACGUAGGUCACCACGCCCAGGCUCCACAGAUCGGUGGUCAGGGACAACGGCUCUCCAAGGACCAACUCUGGGGAAGCAAACUCCGGGCUGCCCAGCAGAGGGUGAAUAUAGUGGGCACUGUUGAGCUGGACAGCAUCACCAAAGUCUGUGAGACAUCAUGCAAAGUCUGUGUGACCUUCAGUAUUCAAAGAUAAAACAGGAUCCAACUGCAAGUUGAUCCAUUUAUGUCUGGAAACGUGACCUUUAACUGCCAUGACGACCAACUCGAGCUCAGACUUUUUACGGAUGCGUAGGGACGUGUGCCAGGAUGAAGACUUCCUGCUGGGACAACAAAAGGGAUCCAGUCAAAUCACACUGACACUGAGAGCUCUUACUUGAUGGAUCCUUCGGGGCAAUCAGGUACUAUGGCAGAGGUGUGUCCCAGCACAAAUCCGGGGAUCCAGCCCUCGGCGGCGGGGCCCUGCUCAGUAGCCGCCCUGAACACCAGGAACAUGUUUUGCUGGUUGCUGGCCAAGAUCUGGACCACCUCACCCUGAAUGACGCUGAUCUCAUCCUCCUUCACUGCCAUGUAGUCCUGGGUCACCAACAUGGUGGAUACGCUACUGCUGCUGCUACUUUCACUCUGCACACCACAAGGGAGGAAACAUGGGCACGUGGGAAAUUCAGAAUGUAACUACAGCAGAGACAGAAACAAAAUUCCAGACAUGAGGGAAAGUCACAGCGAAUUCCCCAAACACCUCAGUGUCUGUGAUACAGAUGAAGGAAGCGGACGUACUGUCUUUUCUUGAGGACGCUGGUCCUGCGUUCGUCCAUCUCUUCCAUGGGGGAGGAGGAGGAGAGGAGGGAGUUGUCAGAGGGGUUGAAGGAAGGAGAGCUGCUGUCUCCCUGUUCUACUGACAGUGAGCUGGGUCUGUCCUCCAAAGCCUGCACCAGGGAAAAACAGACGGUAAACUAAAGUGUGUGCUAAUUCAAAUGUAAAAGUGACAAAUGUCUUCAGCAUAUUCAGGCAGUCAGCUGAUGCCAUAAUCCACAUGCUGGCAAGGUUUCCUGCAUGGGUUCUCGUUUUCCUCUGUUAUCCUACCAUCUUGCUUUUGACCAGCUCCUCGAUGGCGCUCACUAACUCAGCGGCACUGGGCGUCUCUGAACUGGAUGGACGGACCGACAGCCGAGAAGAGGUCUGGGUAAAAAUAGAGAGUUGAGAGGACGGGAUGAGGGUGGAGGGAAGAAAAAGAGCAUUAGAACCUGGUAAUACAUACUAUCUAACAACUACAUCUGCUAACUCUGCUCUUCAGCUGGCGUCAAUACAACUCCUACAGAUAAUGUAACGUAGCGUUUAAUGUAACCAGACUAUAGUUUAUAACUGAUACAAGCUUUACUUAAUCAGUCAUUUAAAGAGAUGUGACAACUAAACUUGCUAUGUAAAACAACAAUUUCUUCAUCUCUAAAACAGAUUAUACUCCUGUUUUGUGUGAAAACUUGACCCAUGACCUACAUGUACUGUAAGUUGGAAGAGUCUAUAAAUGGAUAGCAAAAGAAAUAGCUUAAUAUUAUUUUUUGGUUAAAGGUCAUGCUUAUGUUUGGGUUAAGAUUAAUUUCAAGCUUUUGUUUAGCUUGUUUCUUAGUUAGUUUUAUUAUAAGCAAAUGUUUUAAUUUAGUUUUUUUGAGUGAGCAAUGACUUAGUGAAAAAGAUGUUUCCAGAAGUGAAACCCCAAUGCUGGGGGUUUAUAUCUAAAGGUUCAGAGAAAGUGAAAAAGAAAAGUAUAUGUUAUUUAACAAAAAAAAAACUCAAUGGAAAGGUAAAAACAUGAGGCUGAAAGUGAACAAAAUGAAGAUGUGGGAAAAAAGUGUCGAAAUGGUGAUGGGGAGGAUGGCUGGAGAGGGUAAAAAAAAGUCAUGUUUUGAAAGGAAGAUGUUUCCGGUGCUUUCCUGUGAUGAUGAACAGCCUUUGAAAUAAUAAAAAUAAAAAAGGAUGCUAACAAA